RNAcentral lists this long non-coding RNA (1528 nucleotides) under Cricetulus griseus (Chinese hamster). Its description in RNAcentral is "lncRNA (ENSCGRG00015031444.1)". The record is from RNAcentral. Lineage: Eukaryota; Metazoa; Chordata; Mammalia; Rodentia; Cricetidae.
CAGACUUCAUGUGUCACCUGGCAGCUUGCCCUUGAGCUCUUCUGCCAUAGGCCAGAAGAGGGUGUCAGAUGUCUUGGGACUGGAGUUUCAGACAGUUGUGAACUGCCACAUGAUGAAUGCUGGGAAUUGAACCUGAGUCCUCUGGAAGAAGAGCCAAUGCUUUUAACUGUUGAGCCAUCUCUCUAGGGCCAGCAUUCCAUUUUUAGAGACAUACCAAAUUGUGUUUGUUCAUUUCUGAGUUGAAGGCAAGGUAAUUCAUUUGAUUUGAUACUAGUUUUCUGUGGCUGCUGAAAGAAGUUACAACAAACUUUGAAGUGUCAGAACAGAAUUCAUCUUCUCCUAGUUCUGGGAGCCAGAAGUCUGGAGUGAUCCUGUCAGUAGGAUCACAUGCUCUUCACAGGUGCUGUGGCAUUCCCUUUUCUGUCCUUUCCAGCUUUUGAUGUCCAAUGGCCUGUGACUUCAUUUCUCCGAUCUGCCUCCAUUUUUAUAUGAGAAUCUAUGUGUUUCUGUGUUUUUCUCUUACAAAGAUGCUCUUGGUGGUAUUGAGAGCCCACUGGAAAAGGAGGGAAAUCACCUCAGUUCAGGAUCCUUCCUUUUAUCUGUAAAAGUCGUUUUUCUAACUACUCUUUUUUCGGGGAAAGGUCCCAGGGUCAGGGUGCCCCAGGACCCUAGUUGACUGGGCCCUCCUCUCACCACAUGGUGCAUGGGGCAGAAAGGUUUUCUCUCCUUCUAACUACUCUUAAGAUAACAUGCGUAGUUCUGGUGAUUGGCUAGGAUCUUUCUUGAGCUCACAAGCGAGCCCACUAAGAAGCCUUUUGCCUGGUCUUUCUUUUCUUUCUUCAAGACAGAAUCGCACUAAGAAGCCACAGCUGUCUUCAAACCUGGGAUCCUCCAUCCCACCUCCUGAGUGCAGGGUUGAGAGCAGGUGUCACCAGGUGACAUUUUUCAUCUCUUCUGUACAGCUAGUGACACAGCUUUUCCUCUCAGCACAGCAUUGGCUGCAUCCCAAACAUUUUAUAUGUUUUUUUCUCUCUACAAGUUUAAAAAAAAUCAACUAAGAACCUUAAUCUUGAGAAGUGUGUUUUAAGGCAUUAAAGUGUCUCCCAUUCUGUAACUCUUGGAGUGUAACUUGGAGUGUUUGAAAGAUACUGGAACAAAUAAAUGAACAUAUGAAUGAAUGAAUACAUGAAUGAACUAAUCUGUAAUAAUCUGCAAUCAUUCAGUAUAGUUGGGGGGAAGGGUAGGGGAAUUGAUCAAAACACAUUGCACACAUGUAUUAAGUUCUCAACUAAUAAGUAAAAAUAUGUUUAAAAAAACAAUUACUGGGGGCUGGAGAGAUGGCUCAGAGGUUAAGAGCACCGGCUGCUCUUCCAGAGGUCCUGAGUUCAAUUCCCAGCAACCACAUGGUGGCUCACAACCAUCUGUUAUGAGAUCUGGUGCCCUCUUCUGGUGUGCAGGUAUACAUGGAAGCAGAAUGUUGUAUACAUAAUAAAUAAAUAAAAUCUUAAAACAAAUUAUGGUCAGGGCC